Molecule: ribosomal RNA, 565 nt
Filed under: uncultured bacterium
Lineage: Bacteria
Description: bacterial SSU rRNA
Rfam family: Bacterial small subunit ribosomal RNA
Source: RNAcentral
CAAACAGGAUUAGAUACCCUGGUAGUCCACGCCGUAAACGAUGUCGAUUUGGAGGUUGUGCCCUUGAGGCGUGGCUUCCGGAGCUAACGCGUUAAAUCGACCGCCUGGGGAGUACGGCCGCAAGGUUAAAACUCAAAUGAAUUGACGGGGGCCCGCACAAGCGGUGGAGCAUGUGGUUUAAUUCGAUGCAACGCGAAGAACCUUACCUGGUCUUGACAUCCACAGAACUUUCCAGAGAUGGAUUGGUGCCUUCGGGAACUGUGAGACAGGUGCUGCAUGGCUGUCGUCAGCUCGUGUUGUGAAAUGUUGGGUUAAGUCCCGCAACGAGCGCAACCCUUAUCCUUUGUUGCCAGCGGUCCGGCCGGGAACUCAAAGGAGACUGCCAGUGAUAAACUGGAGGAAGGUGGGGAUGACGUCAAGUCAUCAUGGCCCUUACGACCAGGGCUACACACGUGCUACAAUGGCAUAUACAAAGAGAAGCGACCUCGCGAGAGCAAGCGGACCUCAUAAAGUAUGUCGUAGUCCGGAUUGGAGUCUGCAACUCGACUCCAUGAAGUCGGAAUCG